CAUUAUUGAAUAAGCUUGGUUGGGUUGUAGCUGGCCUUUCUGGGGCAUGUGCACAUCUAACUCCAACUUCUUACCACCUGUGCACCCUUUGUAGACAUGGAUAUCUUUCGAGGAAAACUCGGUUUGAGGAAUGUAGUGUACAAAACUAGCUUUCCUUACACUUCCAGUCUAUGUUUUUAUAUACCCCUAUUUGUAUGUCUAUUGAAUGUCAUUUAAUGGGCUUCAAUUGCCUUUAAAAUCUAUACAACUUUCAACAACGGAUCUCUUGGCUCUCGCAUCGAUGAAGAACGCAGCGAAAUGCGAUAAGUAAUGUGAAUUGCAGAAUUCAGUGAAUCAUCGAAUCUUUGAACGCACCUUGCGCUCCUUGGUAUUCCGAGGAGCAUGCCUGUUUGAGUGUCAUGAAAUUCUCAACCUAUUUCAGCUUUGUUGUUGAAUCAGGCUUGGAUUUGUGGGGGUUUGCGGGCUUCAAAAGUCAGCUCUCCUUAAAAGCAUUAGCAUUAUCUUUUGUUAUCUAGCUUUGGUGUGAUAAUUAUCUAUAUCAUGGCUUGAAAUGAGAUUAUGCUUCAACUGUCUCGUUAGAGAUUACUUAUUACUUUG
This 597-nucleotide ribosomal RNA is filed under the name uncultured fungus. RNAcentral describes it as "eukaryotic LSU rRNA". The stretch from base 246 to 399 matches the Rfam family "5.8S ribosomal RNA". Lineage: Eukaryota; Fungi. The record is from RNAcentral.